This is a long non-coding RNA of Hippocampus zosterae (dwarf seahorse), 300 nucleotides long. RefSeq lists it as uncharacterized. The record is from RefSeq and is a predicted model, not a curated record. The transcript has 2 exons. Lineage: Eukaryota; Metazoa; Chordata; Actinopteri; Syngnathiformes; Syngnathidae.
UGUGUUUCUUUUUGCCGUCAGCAUGUGCACAAUUUGUAACUUUGGUAUAUUUUCAAAAUGUCACGUAAAAUAUUGAAACAACUGCAAACUGUCACAGCUGCAGCUGUUGUGAAAUGCAUUGUAUAAAUGAAGUUGUAUAGAAUUGUAUUGUGUAAUGUUUUUCAAAGGACACCACGAUGACAUUCAAAACCAACUGCAGUCUGAAAUGAAGUACAGUGGAAGCAUAAAGCUAGAUGAAAAUAAUACGUUAAAUCACAUAAAAAUCAAAAAAGAGACAAAAAUCAUCCUUGGACAUGUACC